Molecule: ribosomal RNA, 331 nt
Filed under: Marinobacter sp. N10
Lineage: Bacteria; Pseudomonadati; Pseudomonadota; Gammaproteobacteria; Pseudomonadales; Marinobacteraceae
Description: bacterial SSU rRNA
Rfam family: Bacterial small subunit ribosomal RNA
Source: RNAcentral
AAACUGGAGGGAGGUGGGGAUGACGUCAGGUCAUCAUGGCCCUUACGGCCAGGGCUACACACGUGCUACAAUGGCGCGCACAGAGGGCUGCAAACUCGCGAGGGUAAGCCAAUCUCUUAAAACGCGUCGUAGUCCGGAUCGCAGUCUGCAACUCGACUGCGUGAAGUCGGAAUCGCUAGUAAUCGCGAAUCAGAAUGUCGCGGUGAAUACGUUCCCGGGCCUUGUACACACCGCCCGUCACACCAUGGGAGUGGAUUGCACCAGAAGUGGUUAGUCUAACCUUCGGGAGGACGAUCACCACGGUGUGGUUCAUGACUGGGGUGAAGUCGUA